CAUGCACAUUGUUAGAGCUUGGAGUUGAGGCCACUAGCUGGCUGAUGAACUCACAAAUGUACAUAGUAUGCUACAUGAGGGGCAAGUCUUUCACUAACACAAGGGUCUUUGGCCCAAUGAGUGGAAUUUGAUAGUAAUUCUUGCUAUAAGU
Molecule: small nucleolar RNA, 151 nt
Filed under: Zalophus californianus (California sea lion)
Lineage: Eukaryota; Metazoa; Chordata; Mammalia; Carnivora; Otariidae
Source: RNAcentral